RNAcentral lists this ribosomal RNA (460 nucleotides) under uncultured bacterium. RNAcentral's name for it is "partial 16S ribosomal RNA". It matches the Rfam family "Bacterial small subunit ribosomal RNA", at positions 338 to 795 of the family's 1533-position model. The record is from RNAcentral.
CCUACGGAAGGCAGCAGUGAGGAAUAUUGGUCAAUGGGCGCGAGCCUGAACCAGCCAAGUAGCGUGAAGGAUGACUGCCCUACGGGUUGUAAACUUCUUUUAUAAAGGAAUAAAGUGAGGCACGUGUGCCUUUUUGCAUGUACUUUAUGAAUAAGGAUCGGCUAACUCCGUGCCAGCAGCCGCGGUAAUACGGAGGAUCCGAGCGUUAUCCGGAUUUAUUGGGUUUAAAGGGAGCGUAGGUGGGUUGUUAAGUCAGUUGUUAAAGUUUGCGGCUCAACCGUCAAAUUGCAGUUGAAACUGGCAGUCUUGAGUACAGUAGAGGUGGGCGGAAUGCGUGGUGUAGCGGUGAAAUGCUUAGAUAUCACGAAGAACUCCGAUUGCGAAGGCAGUUCACUGGACUGCAACUGACACUGAGGCUCGAAAGUGUGGGUAUCAAACAGGAUUAGAUACCCGAGUAGUC